UCCCUCCCUCCAGUUCUCCCCGUCACUCCGCCCACCUCCUCUCGCCCUCCUCCCGAGGAGGAGACACCGCUCCAGCGGGAAGCAGGAUGGCUGCUACCUAGGGAACUCAUCAGCACCUCCUCCCCAGAGGCUAAAUCGCCCCUGACCCCAGGUUCACCUGGGCCUACCCCUGCCCAGAUUGCCGAUCCUAACCUGCCCUUCCCGGCUGUAGGAGAGCCGCCUCCCUGGCAGCCUUCCAGCCAUCCUUAGCCCUUUUUUUUCUCGCCCUCCUUCCAGCCUGUCCCAUCUGUGGCCCCUGUCUGACCCCCAUCUGGGGCUGGGGCAGUGUUGAGCACUAGAAGGGGUUCACGGUGCCUGGUCUCCUGAAGCGCUGGGCUCAGCUGGCCACAAGGGAAAGGCUGGGGGGCGGGGGGUGGGCAUGUCUACCUCUAAGCCUGCUGCAGGGUUUUGCCACAGGCACCAUGCUGCCUUCUCCUGGAAUUCACCCCUUCCCCAGGGGUGCAGCCCUAGAAGCUGGAGGUCAGGGUCCCAUUGUUUGGGGUGACAGGUGUCUGUGAGUAUUUUAAGGGGGCAGAGUGGAGCGUGCCUGGUUGAAGUACUAGGCUACAUUUUGUCACCAAGGUAGGGGAUGGUAGGGACCCCUGCUGCUCCCCAACCCUGUCAGAGCUGCUGGAACCUCAGGCAGGAAUCCACUAAGGCCACCCCCUGGGGCCUAGUGGGUACACAGACCCUUACUCAAAGGCCUCAGCUGGGAGGUCCCAGCUCCCCAUUCUUGGCACUCCUUUCCCCAGGGACCUCCAGGCCUCCUCAGCAAGAGCAAGGUUGUUCAGCUGCCUCUGCACUGGCAGCGGAGCAGCCUGUUUGGAAUUUUCCAGGGCCAAGAGCAGCCAUGGGGUGUGGAAGGAAGGGAUCAUUGUUAUGGCCGGGUAUAUGAAGUGUGCCCCCUCCCCAAGUCCCAGGUUCCCUGAUUGCCAAACUGCAGUCCCCAAAUGGCUCAUCCUGUUAAGCUAAACCCUCAGCCAACCUCUGGCUUUAAGAAGAAAAGCAGUUCUGGCUGGAGCCAGAUUAAGCCUGCUAGCAUAGGACCGAAGCUCGUCUGGAGACAAAGAGGUUGGACUUUUCUUCACAUUGGAAAUCAAGUUCAAUUCUUCUUCACGGCUACAAGAUGGGGCACCAGCUGACCCUUGGGCUCCCCAGCACUGAAGAGCAGCCAUCCCCCAAGCUGCCUUCCCUGCCCUUUGCCCUCGGCCCUUGCAAGAGCCCACUGCCUGGGGUGUCUCUUCUUUGUUGACUUCCCUCUGAUCCUGUAAGACUCAGCUCAGCAGCCACCUGUUACAGAAGGAGGGAGAGGAAGGCGAGGGGGAUCCUCUGACCCAAGCCUCCACUGGUGCCCAGCCAGGGCAGCUGGGCUUGUGUGGUACUCGAAGUUCAAGAACCCAUCCUCUCAGGUUGGAUGAUUAGGCCAGAGUUUCCCGAAGUGGGAGCUGGGGGCCAUAAACUGCCUUCUGGUGUGCUGACUGGCACAGCCUGUGGGAACAGCCAAGCUACAGUGUUCCCGGGGUAGUUCCCGUGGGGUGCUGGGCAUCAGAGCAAAACAAAGGCAGAGGGAUUUUCAGCCCUUGGGUCCUCAGGUGUUCUCAGAGCUUUGGGAAGGUGUAUCUUGCCAACCCCCCACCCUAGCACCAGCUGCUGAGGAGGAGUGGGGUGGACGCCCCAGGACCCUAGCUAAGGGCUGGGAGGCUGUCCCUGCCAGACCGCACUAAGCCUCUGCCUGUCUUGCCAGGGCUUUAUAUUCAUGGCUCUGUCUGUGAGGCUGGUUCUGGAGCACGUGCAGGAGCAGGUGAGAUACUUGUAGGUACUUGCCCAACUGCAAAGGGAGAGCGUAACCCACUGUUCUUAAGUGUGGGAUGUGUACUGAGUGAGAAGUUUCUCACUCUUGAGUGAGAAGCAAAGUGUUCUCCAGGCAGCAGCCAUGGUGGCCAACCUUUCAGAGGCCAGUGGGGUGGAGGUGGAGUAGGAGCCCAGGAGGAGGAUGAAGGGAGGAGGGGAGCACUGGAAAGAGGGCUCCCCUUGUCCAGGGAGGUCUGGAAAUUAGACCCAGUGCCCGCAGCAACUGGGGCUACAGGUCCCACCGGGUGGACCACUGAGGAGACUGGGUGGGAGGGCGCCCUGCCCUGGGGCAGUGGGUUAACCCAUUGCUCCAGGACAGCUAGAGGGCGGGCUGGUGGGGUGAGGGAGGCACUCCUCUGCUCAGGCUGCGAGUACAAGAAGCUGUGCAAUUAGAAUGUGCUGGGAACAGAGGGAAGGCUGGAGUCCACCUUGAAGGAGUUUGUGUUUUCAAUAGCUGGGGAGACGAGGAUGGCGCCAGGCCACCUACCGAGGCUGGGGUGUAAGAGGGAACGACCUGACCCCCACCCCUGCACAGCACUCCUUGUUCACCAGCUGUGCUUAUCCACAUAGACCCCGAAAAAGAUUUGUAAAUUUGUUUUUAUGUUUUAAACACAUUUUUAAUUUCUGAAUAGUUUUAUUAUUUUUUUCUUUUUAAUCACAUUUUAUUGAUUAUACUAUUACA
Long non-coding RNA from Phyllostomus discolor (pale spear-nosed bat), 2572 nucleotides. RefSeq lists it as uncharacterized. The record is from RefSeq and is a predicted model, not a curated record. The transcript has 3 exons. Lineage: Eukaryota; Metazoa; Chordata; Mammalia; Chiroptera; Phyllostomidae.